This 406-nucleotide ribosomal RNA is filed under the name uncultured bacterium. RNAcentral's name for it is "partial 16S ribosomal RNA". It matches the Rfam family "Bacterial small subunit ribosomal RNA", at positions 30 to 526 of the family's 1533-position model. The record is from RNAcentral.
AUUGAACGCUGGCGGCAGGCCUAACACAUGCAAGUCGAACGAGUGGCGGACGGGUGAGUAAUGUCUGGGAACCUGCCUGAUGGAGGGGGAUAACUACUGGAAACGGUAGCUAAUACCGCAUAACAUCAUAUGUGCCCAGAUGGGAUUAGCGAGUGGGUGUGGUAACGGCUCACCAAGGCGACGUUCCCUAGCUGGUCUGAGAGGCUGACCGGCCACCCUGGAACUGAGACACGGUCCAGACUGCUACGGGAGGCAGCAGUGGGGAAUAUUGCACAAUGGGCGCAAGCCUGAUGCAGCCAUGCCGCGUGUAUGAAGAAGGCCUUCGGGUUGUAAAGUACUUUCAGCGGGGAGGCGUUACCCGCAGAAGAAGCACCGGCUAACUCCGUGCCAGCCGCCGCGGUAAUUC